This 481-nucleotide long non-coding RNA is filed under the name Mytilus galloprovincialis (Mediterranean mussel). Lineage: Eukaryota; Metazoa; Mollusca; Bivalvia; Mytilida; Mytilidae. The record is from RNAcentral.
CAGUGGUAUAAUUUAUUCAAACUUGUGUAGCAAACUUUUUCAUUCUAUUUUUUAUCCAAUUUUCUAUCCUUAGUAGUGCUGGCAAUCAUGUUUGAUGGCUGUUUUGGUCAUCACUCAUAACUUCUUAACCCUUUACUCCAUGGAUAUUUUUUUUUUAUAUACUUGAUUCGCAUAGGAUUUUUUUCAGUAAAAAAAAUCAUCAGGUUUAAAGUGUUAAUGCAUUGUGAAAACUAAUAUUUCAUCAAUGAAAUUCAAGUCAGAUAUUCUCAUGAAUCUCCUUUUCAUAUUGGAUACAAUUUUUUUUUAAGUCUGAUGCAGACAUUUUGGAGACAUAGCGUUUCAACUGAGGUACUACACAGGCGUCAAAAAGCGUCAUUAUGGAAUAAAGGGGGUGGCGUCAAAAGGCGUCAUUAUGGAGGAAAGGGUUAAGGAAGUCAUUAAGUUUUAAUUUUCUAAUUUUAAGUCAUAUGAAAGUUAUCAG